GGUUUCACCAUUUUAGCCAGGAUGGUCUCAAUCUUCUGACCCUGUGAUUCACCCACCUCAGCCUCCCAAAGUGUUGGGAUUACAGGCGUGAGCCACCGCGCCCGGCCCAGUGUGGCAUUGUUUUUAACAGAGUGUCUUUGAAAAUAAAGGCUUUUAAAAAUAUAAAUAUAGCAUAGAAACUAAAAGCAAUAUCAAAUACCUAGAAAGAUGUCAAAUGCCUGGAAAAGCUUACCUGAUUUCAGAAUUAUUUUUAGGUGGAAAGGAUGAAGGAAAGAUAAUUUUUUAAUGUAUAAGUUAAGCCUGGUGCAGUGAUGAAUGUGUAUAGUCUCAGCUACUCUGGAUGUGGGAGGAUUGCUUGAGCUCAAGAAUUUGAGGCUGUAAUCAUACCUGUGACUAGCCACUGCACUCCAGCCUGGGCAACAUACCAAGACCCCACCUCUAAAAAUCAAUCAAUCAAUCAGCUUAUACAGUAUAUUAAAACAUCCCUCCUUAGAAGAGAUUUAUGGGCAGUUGUUAGGGAGGGCGGGCCUGUUUCCGGGUGGCACGUGGGGCUUGAGGCCGAGAACGGCUCUUGCUGCCACCAACAUGGAGACCUCGUACCGUGUCCCGUUCUUAGUGCUCGAAUGUCCCAACCUGAAGCUGAAGAAGCCGCCCUGGUUGCACAUGCCGUCGGCCAUGACUGUGUAUGCUCUGGUGGUGGUGUCUUACUUCCUCAUUACCGGAGGAAUAAUUUAUGAUGUUAUUGUUGAACCUCCAAGUGUUGGCUCUAUGACUGAUGAACAUGGGCAUCAGAGGCCAGUAGCUUUCUUGGCCUACAGAGUAAAUGGACAAUAUAUUAUGGAAGGACUUGCAUCCAGCUUCCUAUUUACAAUGGGAGGUUUAUGUUUCAUAAUCCUGGACCGAUCGAAUGCACCAAAUAUCCCAAAACUUAAUAGAUUUCUUCUUCUGUUCAUUGGAUUCGUCUGUGUCCUACUGAGUUUUUUCAUGGCUAGAGUAUUCAUGAGAAUGAAACUGCCAGGCUAUCUGAUGGGUUAGAGUGCCUUUGAGAAGAAAUCAGUGGAUACUGGAUUUGCUCCUGUCAAUGAAGUUUUAAAGGCUGUACCAAUCCUCCAGUAUGACAUGUGGAAAAGAAUGAAGAGCAGCAGUAAAAGAAAUAUCUAGUGAAAAAACAGGAAGCGUAUUGAAGCUUGCAUUAGAAUUUCUUCUUGGUAUUAAAGAGACAAGUUUAUCACAGUAUUUUUUUUUUCCUGCUGACCUAUUGCUAUACCAACAAUGUUGAGUGGCAUUUUCUUUUUAGUUUUUCAUUUCUUAAAGAAAAGAGACUCCAUAUCUACAACUAUAAUAUCAAAUAAAGUGAUUGUUUUUUACAACCCCCUUAACAUUUUUUGGAGAUGACAUUUCUGAUUUUCAGAAAUUAACAUAAAAUCCAGAAGCAAGAUUCCAUAAGCUGAGAACUGUGGACAGCUGAUCAGCUUUACCUGUGGUGCUUUGCCUUUAACUAGAGUGUGUGAUGGUAGAUUAUUUCAGAUAUGUAUGUAAGACUGUUUCCUGAACAAUAAGAUGAAUGAAAGGAGCAGAAAUAAAUACUUUUUCUAAUUAAAAAAAAAAAA
Macaca mulatta (Rhesus monkey) is the source of this 1610-nucleotide RNA transcript. It is a transcript of the gene named oligosaccharyltransferase complex subunit OSTC pseudogene, with no coding region annotated. NCBI's taxonomy places the organism in Eukaryota, Metazoa, Chordata, Mammalia, Primates, Cercopithecidae. The record is from RefSeq and is a predicted model, not a curated record.